GAGUACUGGAAUUUGUCAAACACCAGUAAACCUCAAGAGGAGCCUGAAAACUUGGAAUGUGGUCUGGUCUUACAUCCAAAAAGGAAAACCUGGAAUGUGUUCUGCUCAGUAUUUCCUGGUUUAACAGAAUUUUAAUAAUCUGUAAUCAGCUACCUCUGCUUCUCUACACCUGCUUGCUGCGUUCACAUAAGCUGCUGCCUGUGCACGGUAGUUGCCUUUAAAAACCCAGCCCUACUGAAGCUCAGGGUUGUUCCUCCACUAUCCUGAUGGUGGGGAGCAGUUGCUGUGCAGCUAAAGACUCCUAGCCCGAUUCAGUGUUGGUGACUUUGUUGCUGUGGGUUCGAGUCCCACUUGGGUAGUCAGUAUACUACAGGACUUGCCCACUGAGGAGCUGGUGUGGUACUCUCAGGCACCUGAUAGGUAUAUAAGAGGCUGGUGGCAGCAGC
Molecule: long non-coding RNA, 446 nt
Organism: Perognathus longimembris pacificus (Pacific pocket mouse)
Lineage: Eukaryota; Metazoa; Chordata; Mammalia; Rodentia; Heteromyidae
Exons: 3
Source: RefSeq, a predicted model, not a curated record